This 253-nucleotide ribosomal RNA is filed under the name uncultured bacterium. Its description in RNAcentral is "partial 16S ribosomal RNA". It matches the Rfam family "Bacterial small subunit ribosomal RNA", at positions 524 to 776 of the family's 1533-position model. The record is from RNAcentral.
UACGGAGGAUGCAAGCGUUAUCCGGAAUGAUUGGGCGUAAAGGGUCCGCAGGUGGCAGUGUAAGUCUGCUGUCAAAGAAUGAGGCUUAACCUCAUCAAGGCAGUGGAAACUACACAGCUAGAGUACGGUCGGGGUAGAAGGAAUUCCUGGUGUAGCGGUGAAAUGCGUAGAGAUCAGGAAGAACACCGGUGGCGAAAGCGACUACCUGGCCUGUUCUUGACGCUGAGGCGCGAAAGCUAGGGGAGCGAACGGG